GUGCACUGUGUAAUUCUUCUAAAAUAGGCGAUGCCUUUAAUAUUUUCUUUAACACAAUAUGAUAGUUUUCUCAUGCUUCCGAGUGCAAGAAACUCAUCGUGGAUAGCUUCUGAUAGAUCUCAGUGUGAAGGAAACAAAUUUCAGGAUUGUUUUACAGUUUUCUUUUUACCGCUUUCAAAUGUUUCCUUGUUAGAUUCAUUUCAACAUCAACUCCCAGACUUUAACCCUAUCACCAAAGGUAUAACAUUACCUUUAGGGAUCGAACUUUUAUAAAAUAUAGAAAUUUUACCCUCUCUUCGUAGGUUGAACAUGGUGUGUUUUGUUUUCAAAAGUUCCACCUGUCAAACCCGAUUCUGUCUUUAGACCAGUUAACGGUUUGUAAUUAAUGAUCGCCGAUAUUUCCCCACUCGAAUACAUUUUUUUUAGAUUUAUUUUUUUAGUCCGCAAUUUGCCAGCACUAAUGGCUCCCCCUUUUGGGUUGCACCUUUUAUUCCAUAUAAACAAUUGGCCAUAAGAACUGAUGGGUUUUGUUAAAUGUUUAUCUCCUUUGCCAUCAUCAUGGCUCACACUUGAUUGACAUAAUGUUUACGUAAUCGCGAGUAAAACCUCCCUAAGGCGCUGAUAUUAAGAGAUUUUACGCUCAUUACCGAUCCUGCCUUGACGAUAAGACUAUCACUCAGAAUAUACUCACUGAUGCGCUAUAAAAGACCGUUACCGAAUUUGUACAUAACAUAGCCGAAGUCGGUAUAUCCUAGCAAGCAAAAAUAGCAAAACCCUCAACACAUUAGCAGCUCGUGAAUAGUUACACGAUAUAUUCUAUAUAGCGAAUACUUUGGCACGGAAAUUAGUGUCCUACAUAUGGAAACAGACGAACGAACAAACAAAUCAUUUGCUAUCAUAGCAAAUGCACCACUAUGGUCAAUUCUCGUUAUUACGGACAACCCUGGGACUGUGAUUUGGCGACCAUACUACGGAGAAUUGACUCCAGUAGUUUAAGCUUACUGAUAUAAUCCCAUACAUGCUUUCUUUUUUCUCCAUGUUUUGCUAAAAAUGUAUUGCCCUUUGACAAUUGAUAGUUGAUAAAUGUGUUUUCCGAGCAACUGGUUAGACAUGACGACAAAUGCAGUGUAGUCCUUGCUAGCAGAAGCCCCUUUUCGCUGGCCUAGAUAUCGCGGCAUCUGCUUGCAGGGAAAUGAGCGUUCCCUACACGGAUGACCGACACCACUAUGUCACCGUGCACCCUCCGAACCCUCCUUCUAUUCGAAUUACUCUAAUUACGCCCGCAUUGCCCCUAACCGCCUCCAAUUGCACAUUUUUAAAUUACUGCCGAGUACAGUACAAUGUCAGUGAUUUAGUCAAGAGAGAAUUUUAUACGUUUACAAAGUCAUCUUAAAUAUCUUGACAUUCAAGGUGAUGCCUUUCUUUUAUCUUUGUAUUUGGAAAAAAUUGCAUUGGUUAUUAAAAAAUGGUGAGUUUUAAAUGAAGUAGACUACUACAUCUGUAAAUAUAGGCCUUAGGGGUAUCCCGAGGUGUCUGAGUUGUUGGUCGGAAGCUGGAAUUACUGUAUUGUAAACGUUUCCUACGAGCUCUUGGUGCUAUUUAGAUUUCCAUGGUCAUCUUCAUUGUGUUUUGUUUGUACUUCGAAUACUUUUCACGCCUAGAAUAUUGAAAUAGGAUGACACAAACAGUUGAGUUCGCACUAUCCUUUUUGAGUAAUGGUGUGAUUUGACUACCACUAACGAUGCGAGAAAUAAUCCAACUCUGAACUUGAGAUUUUGAGCGUAUCAGUAUCUAUUUUUGACAUAAAGAGGAAGUUACUUGAACACUUCUAGACGUUUGUCUGAUAUUACCGAACCUAUUCCGCCAUAGAUUUGUACUCAUAAUUAAUAUGGGAGUGAUCAAGAUUAUGAAAGCGGAGGCAUCCAACAUCGAAAAGUAAUAAAAAAUGUGUUUUGCUUUUAUAUAAAUUGCCUACAAUUGAAAUAACAAUACUAUGAGUUUGUCAUUCAAACAUGUCCAAUACGGUUUAUUCUUGAUCUUUUCGCUUCCUGGGAAUAGUAUAGUGGAUUAUGCUAUUGAGCCGUACUGUACAAUUUCCGAUGUUUCUAAACAAGAUAGACAAUCGCAAAUCGUCUAGUUAGUCAGGGACGCUGAAAUAUUUUUAUUCGUUUUGUUUUUAUCCAUAAAGAAGCCCACGAUUUUUUAAACCGAUUUCUUUUCCUUCUGUAUCACUUCCGAGCGAUAUGAAUGCAUCGUUUUAAAGUACAAAUCAAUAGGGGUGAUUCAGCUUAGUUUCAGCUACAGUGCUACGGAUUAAAUUCCCUUUUGCUUCGGGCAUAGCAAGAUAGAUGACCGCAGAGAAUAGUCCCGGUAUUGCCGCGAACUAAUGGUGUUAUUGACAGCACAACAGUGAAAACCAUGAAAAUUAUCUUAUCACUGGCGUCAAAACUGAUGUUUUUCCAUUAUAUUUUUAAGCCAAAAGCGAACGGCGGAUAACAAAAUGGAUAACAUAUUUCUGCAACUCAGAAAGACUUCAGUUGAGAGUAAAUUUGAUUUAAGAACAAAGCCCAUCACUGUAUUUUGUCUUGUCUUUAAAGGCACUCUAUAUCGAAGCCAUCUGCCAAAGCUGAACAAAAGAUCCAGGAGUUCUGUGAACCGCUGUGCAGCGGUAGGGCGGGCGCUGCCACCACAACUCUAAGUGAAUACCUCUGGCUAAUUCACUAUCACAAUACUACGGGUCGCAUGCCAGCGGAGUGGAUGCGCGCAAAAUUCCAUUCAUUUAAAAGUGCGUCUGUUUUGUUCGCGACUUAAUCCGCGUUUUUGGCUCUUUCCUGAGGGUGAUUCGAUCGGUUUAGAAAUAUAAGCGUGUGUGGGAGGUUUAUAGGGCCCGCCAACGUCUUAUGCACAACGCUUGGAGUGCGUGCACUUAGCACAGUGGACUUGAGACCAGUCGCCUCGCUCACUAUCGUGGUAUUACAUCUAAGUAAACGAGAUGUUCGCCGCGAGGCCGAACUGAGCCGAGACCCAAGUAACGCCAGACCCAAAGGGAAUGAGCGAACCGAGCACUCGAUGAUUCAGAGAGGACUAAAAUUGGGCAAAUUAAUUGACUGUCUAAAGGGUAUAUAAGCAGUUGAUGUGUUUGGUUGCUUAUGGACAUCAAGAAGAGCAAACUUUACGUUACUUCCUGCGUUUUGAGAAUCAGAAGUCUACUAGGUGUAUAUUGAAAGUGGCGAGUUUUGACAGGAAAACAGACUGGAUUUCCCCCAAGAACUUCAACCAUGGCGAGUGGCAAAGUGCCUUCGUGGAGCGAUUACCUAAUCGGAGGUGUAGUCACUCUCCUGUUUCUAGUAACUCUUUUACUAAAUAUUCUCGCCUUGCACUAUACUUACAACAAAAUUAAGAAGCCUUCCAACAAGAAAAUCCCACAUCUUCUUGUCGGCGCGCUGUCAACCGCAGGUCUUGGUAUAGCCCUGUGUAGUUACCCUCCAUUCAUAGCGUCUCGGUUUGUCGGGGAAUGGUUUUACGGUGCGAGUGUUUGUAAUUUCAUAGCUUUUAUCAUCGUGCUAUUUGGUUCGCUAACUAUAUGUCUGGUGGUGGUGAUGAGCGUCGAGCGUUUGGGCGCGAUUUGUUUCCCGUUUUUCUACAAAGAACAUGUGACAUUUAAAAAAGCGGUCUUCUUACUCUCGGUGGCGGUUGUUUACUCUAUAUGUCUCGCCGCGUUGCCGAUUGUGCUUGAUAACAUUCGGUUGAAUGUCUCUACCGGUAUUUGCUACUAUGUGAGCGAUACUCACAACACGAAUACACGGGUCGUCGUCUCCAUUAUGGUCACACAUUAUCUGGUAUCAAUCCUCGUCAUGUUCGUCUCAAACAUGGUUGUGGUGCGUGCCGUUAGCAAACUUGACAAGAACUGCGCCGGGGAAUACUCUCAGCGCAACGAGACGAAACAGACGACUGCUUGUAUCAGUUUCGCGAAAAUGGUAGCCGUCUUAGCGGUUUGUUAUACCAUAUGUUGGACAGCCAUCUUGAUGCGGAUCUUGUUACUCUAUGUGUACGGCUGGCACAAUCACUACUACGACCAAGUUGUCACUGUUCUGACAACAUUCGACCCGCUCAUCAACCAUUGCGUGUGCUUGUGGAUUAUGCGGAAGUACCGCGAUGGCUACGCCUCCUCCAUGGGCAGUAUCAUGUCCUGCUUCAAAAUCUCUGAUGACGGAGUCUGGGCUACAGCCAUCACCAGACUCAGUUCCAUGUCGAGGCGAUCAACAUUUUCACGUGCUUCGACUCGCUCGUCCUCACGGAAGAAUUCUAAACGUAAGUAGACAGACUGCUUUUCUCGUAACUUGUUGUUAUCCCAGAGGAGUAUGAUUCGACACGAAUUUUGGCAUCUCUUGGACCGUCGUUAGUAGGGACACAUACUGACAGGCCCGUAACUAUAAGGUUUUGCAGAAGGGUGAGAAUUGACGGCUGAACCAAAAAAAUACACUUCACGUGACAUAAGUCACAUGAAUUAACUGGGUUUUUUUAACACCAUGAUUUUUUUAAAGCUUUGAAACUGCACAAUUUUUACGCCGACUUCUUUUUUAUUACUUUUGAUUAUGUAGCCAUCUAAUUACCCCACCCCCUUGCCUCCAAAUUCCAACAUAGCAUGACACGUUUCGAUCGGGAUUUGGACUUAACCGAAGAGUUGUCUGCCACCUCACAUCAUAGUAGUGGGUUGACUGCAGGAUUGAUAAGGUAGAGGAAAACAAAACAUCCUUUUAAAGAUUGAUAGCAGGAUUGAUAAGGUAGAGGAAAACAAAACACAUCGUUUUAAAGAUUGAUAGCAGGAUUGAUAAGGUAGAGGAAAACAAAACACAUCCUUUUAAAGAUUGAUAGCAGGAUUGAUAAGGUAGAGGAAAACAAAACACAUCCUUUUAAAGAUUGAUAGCAGGGUUGAUAAGGUAGAGGAAAACAAAACACAUCCUUUUAAAGAUUGAUAGCAGGAUUGAUAAGGUAGAGGAAAACAAAACACAUCGUUUUAAAGAUUGAUAGCAGGAUUGAUAAGGUAGAGGAAAACAAAACACAUCCUUUUAAAGAUUGAUAGCAGGAUUGAUAAGGUAGAGGAAAACAAAACAUCCUUUUAAAGAUUGAUAGCAGGAUUGAUAAGGUAGAGGAAAACAAAACACAUCGUUUUAAAGAUUGAUAGCAGGAUUGAUAAGGUAGAGGAAAACAAAACACAUCCUUUUAAAGAUUGAUAGCAGGAUUGAUAAGGUAGAGGAAAACAAAACACAUCCUUUUAAAGAUUGAUAGCAGGGUUGAUAAGGUAGAGGAAAACAAAACACAUCCUUUUAAAGAUUGAUAGCAGGAUUGAUAAGGUAGAGGAAAACAAAACACAUCCUUUUAAAGAUUGAUAGCAGGGUUGAUAAGGUAGAGGAAAACAAAACACAUCCUUUUAAAGAUUGAUAGCAGGAUUGAUAAGGUAGA
RNA transcript from Nematostella vectensis (starlet sea anemone), 5463 nucleotides. It is a transcript of the gene named rhodopsin, GQ-coupled, with no coding region annotated. The transcript is spliced from 3 exons. The record is from RefSeq and is a predicted model, not a curated record. NCBI's taxonomy places the organism in Eukaryota, Metazoa, Cnidaria, Anthozoa, Actiniaria, Edwardsiidae.